AAGCUCUGCCCGUCACCUUUACUGUGUUUUCUCAAAACACAAGUUGUGAAUCUGGUGGUGUGUGAAUUUGCCCAAGUUUCCAUCUCGCUCGUUGAGAAUCCAUGAAACUCUCUGUAUUCUGAAACACAAGUCGUGCCAAAAGCUCAACCUUAGUUUCCGCCAAGCUCUGCCUGUCGCCUUUACUGUGUUUUCUCAAAACACAAGUUGUGAAUCUGGUGGUGUGUGAAUUUGCCCAAGUUUCCAUCUCGCUCGUUGAGAAUCCGUGGUAUGCCCCCUCUUUCAAAUUGCUCUUUUCGCUGAUUGCUUCGCUUAUUCGAGUUCUUCGAUCUUCUUUUUCUUCUCUAACAUAAAAAAUUUGGUAAGGUUUCAUAUUUUGGUAUUUUUUUCUUUUAAAAAAUCAGUGAAAAGAUUAUUGGAUUGGGAUUCCUAAUUUGAUAAUUUAAUUUUCUGAAGUUUAUAUAAAAUUGCGAUUCAGUAUCCUCAGCGGCAGAUUUUAAUUACCUUCUUUUGCUUCAUUGAUGUGUGUUUCUGCCUUCGCCAUGGGUUAACUAAUCCCUGUAACUAGCAGUCUUGUUUGUGUGCUAUAGAAGAGUGCUGAAAGCACAUUCUUGAAUUGCUAAUUGUGUUUAGUGAAAAGCUGGUACAUAAGUUGAGAUGAAAAGCUCAGACAGAGAACUCUUAUUAAUCGCAAUGAAUGAGAUGAAAACCUGGUACAUAAGUUGAACAUUAGGUGUUUAGUUAUAUAGGUGUCUUGUAGAAAAAUAUUGUGUAAAAUAUCUUUGUUCAUUACUUGGAUUGAGUGGCAAUUUCAAAUUACUACAAUUUUGGUGUUCUGGACUAGUGGAUUCCAUACGCAUUUGUUGUGAUCAAACGGCUAUUAGAUAUCUGACUCCUAUGUUUUUUUUUCGAGUUUAGUACUUUGUUUGCUUGGACAGUUGCAAUCCUAGUUGUAUAUCUCAAUAUUUUAUGUUGCACUUUUGUUUGUUUGGAUGCGUUCUAAUUUGCUAUGACAUUGCUGAGUACAAUGGUUAGGACACUUUAUCCAUAUUGGUCCAAAAUAUCUGAUCUUUUUUCUUAAAUAGCAAAAUUGUUUUUGCUCAGGCAAUAUUUUAUUGUUGUGAUAUCUCAAGUUUGAUUUUACAUGUAUUCUUCUAAUUGUUUUACUUUAGAAUAUUUAAUUGUAUCAUCAAAUGUUUUUAUAUCAAACACUGGAGUACAAAUAAAAUUAGGCCAAGGUAGGGUAAUCUUAAAAAGACAACGAGAAAGAAUUUAGCUUAAGAUAUGUUGUAUUUCAUGAAUGAGAAUAUGUAAUAGCUUAUUAAUUGACCUACAAUUGAGAAGUAGGUGAUGUUUUAAUGGCAAGAGUGAUUUUCAUGUAUUAUACUAUGUGAUAUUGAAUGGUUGUUUUAAAUUGUCCAUUUGUCUCUGGUGUGAUGUGAAUAACCAUGUAAAGGUAUGCAACAGUUUAGUAUCAAGCCAUGAACAUUCCUUAGCAUGUUGAGUCUAUUUUAAGGAUCUCUACCCUCCCUUAAAUGCAUUUUGAUCAACCAAAUUAGAAAGACGAGGGUUAUAGAUCAGUAGAGUCCAAUUACAUCGACCUGAAUUUUGAUCUAAGCACACUAAUUUGAUGUGGAAUGAAUCAGAUUGAGGUCCUGUAUUUGUACACCACUCAAAUGAAAGAAGAGAGGAUUUACUUCAUAAAAUCCUGACAUUGGAACACACUUUCUAGAAAUAGUUGGAGAGCUCUAAGAACAUUGUUACCUUUAUGGUGAAAAUGGAGUAAUUUGUAGUGACCAUUUUUCUGGCAUCACCACUAUUUGUCUCUGGUAUGUAGUGAAUAAUUGUGUAAAGGUAUUCAAUAGUUUAGUAUCAAACCAUUAAAAAUAACUACUCUAGGGACAUUUCUUAGCAUCUUGAGACUAUUCUUUCUCCAUUUCAUACCAACUCUUGAGAAUCCAGUUAUGUGCAUUUGAUCGUAACAAGUAGUGUGUAUCGUAGUAUUUUUCUUAUCUUUUAUCUUUAUUUAAUUUAACUUUUAUUUACUCUCCAAGGUUAUGGCACCUAGUAAGCAAUGGAUGCAACUUGUUGAUAAUCGGC
Molecule: long non-coding RNA, 2097 nt
Filed under: Nicotiana tabacum (common tobacco)
Lineage: Eukaryota; Viridiplantae; Streptophyta; Magnoliopsida; Solanales; Solanaceae
Description: long non-coding RNA (NTAB_LNC012516)
Source: RNAcentral